RNAcentral lists this unclassified non-coding RNA (337 nucleotides) under soil metagenome. Its description in RNAcentral is "partial contains 5.8S ribosomal RNA, internal transcribed spacer 2, and large subunit ribosomal RNA". The stretch from base 1 to 121 matches the Rfam family "5.8S ribosomal RNA", at positions 35 to 154 of the family's 154-position model. The record is from RNAcentral.
GAUGAAGAACGCAGCGAAAUGCGAUAAGUAAUGCGAAUUGCAGAAUUCCAGUGAGUCAUCGAAUCUUUGAACGCACAUUGCGCCCGCCAGUAUUCUGGCGGGCAUGCCUGUUCGAGCGUCAUUUCAACCAUCAAGCCCCAGGCUUGUGUUGGGGACCUGCGGCUGCCGCAGGCCCUGAAAACCAGUGGCGGGCUCGCUGUCACACCGGGCGUAGUAGAUUUUAUCUCGCUCAGGGCGUGCUGCGGGUUCCGGCCGUUAAAAAGCCUUUUUUACCCAAGGUUGACCUCGGAUCAGGUAGGAAGACCCGCUGAACUUAAGCAUAUCAAUAAGCGGAGGA